Molecule: non-coding RNA, 251 nt
Organism: Cajanus cajan (pigeon pea)
Lineage: Eukaryota; Viridiplantae; Streptophyta; Magnoliopsida; Fabales; Fabaceae
Source: RefSeq, a predicted model, not a curated record
CUGCACUUUAAUGAACUAUUAAUUUCAAGGAUCUUUCCUUUACCAUUAUACUUUAUUGAACCAGGCCAAGCUUGCAGCUGUGAAGGAAAGAUUUGGACGAGAGAUCCACAUUUUUGAAACAUCAACUUUUGCUUCAUCAUCAAAUGCUCCAUUAUCCAAUGGAGAGGAGACCGAUGACUUCUAUGAGUUUACUGCUGAAGAUUAUUACAGACUUUUGGCUUCUAAGAAGGAAGAUAAAUUCUUGAAGACUC